AGUCAAGGAGAGGAGACUGCAUAGGGUGUGACUAUCAGGAACCAUGGCUCACUGGAGCACCAUCUUUGGAGUCUAGCUAACACAGCAUCUUGGAUGCACUCCUAAGAGAAGACUACCUGAAAGGCGUGUACACUGGUCUAGCAGUUGAGAUCAGCUAGUGUUCCAUCUAUCUUCUGUCAUGUAUCUCUUCUAAGAUGUCUUGAUCGACUGACCCCAAAGCCAGAGGGUACCAGGUCAAAAAGCAAGAUGGUUGAAUGAAAAACUCCAAUAACCACAGAAGACUGAUUUAAUAAUGGAAUACUAUCAGUAAAGCUCAUUUAGAAUCUGUAAUUAGAUUUCAUCCUUGAUUAUAUGUGCAAAUACCUCCUAAGAAAAUAACCGUUUAAUAGCUUAAUUUUGGUUUAGAAGCCAUUUCCAGACUUUGAAUCUAAUGUUCUAAAUGGUUUCUAAAUUUUUGUGUAGUAUGAUAUUCUAUGAAAACAAUAUGCAUUAUUAAGUUAAAACUUAUUAUUUCUUACAUUAUUUCUAAGAAAACAAACAAUACUGACAUUAGAGAGAAGCAAAGUUUCUAUAGAAAACCUAUUACACUGUGGUAUAAAUCAAGAUGAACCUGCAGACAUCUAUUUUAGUUUGGAAGUCUGGAAAAGUUCAAGAUUGGCCAUCUGCAGCUGGUGAGAGCCUCAGGCUGCUUCCCCUCAUGGUGGAAGGUGAAGGGGAGCUGGUGUGUGCAGAGAUUACAUGCUUUUCUAGGUCAUCAUUCUAGGCUUUGUUGAAGCAUGCAUUUUUGGCAUGAGGGUGGCAGCCUUUGCACUAUGUGCAUGGCUGAGGAGUUAGGAUCUGGAGGGUGAUGAAAGCAAAGGUGCUGCUGGUUACUCUUGGUUCAUCUAGCAAUAGAUGAUCUGAAUGUUAGAGUUCGCCAAAUAUUGUUCCUGGGCAGUCUUUGCUCUACCAAAUCAACUUUCUCCAUGGGGGAGCUAGAAGUCACCCCACAUUCUCCGCCAUGGCCAGCUCUACAUUCUAAGAGAACCAAUGGCUCUACCCAACAUAUUCUUCUCACCACAGAUGACAAAGACACAAGGAGCCAAGACAGAUCAUUCAAGCAUAUUCAUUGCCUCUAUCUUCAUCCCAUUAAAUAACAUCCCGCCAACCAAAGCAAGUUAUCUGCAUAAGAAUAAAUAUUCCACCUACUCUACUGCAAGGCCCUGCAAGAGUCAUGAGACAAAAGGAUCCUCUGUGGACAGCACCCAAGAUGGAAACAACUGACAGUCUAUGGCCAGGGCUAUACUCUGGUGAAACUGAAAGGUGUCUGCAUGGAAGUGUCUGACUACCACCAUCCACUCAGGCAAAUGCAUUUGUUUCCCUCUAUUCAUUAUUAGAAGAGAGGAGAUUACAUACCAGACAUAUACCAAUAGAGAUGGGGUUUCAUCAUGUUGACCAGGCUGGUCUUGCCCUCCCGACCACAGGUGAUCUGCCCGCCUGAGCCUCCCAAAGUGCUGGGAUUACAGGCAUGAGCCACCACGCCUGUCCAAAACUUCUUGACUUAAUAAAGAAAGAAAGAAAGAAAAAAAAAAAAAAUCCUGUGCAGAGGUUGCUAAGAACCUUGGUAAGAAUCUUCUAUCUAUAAAAUUGUGAAGAAGAAUAAAAAAAUUUUUG
This is a long non-coding RNA of Homo sapiens (human), 1653 nucleotides long. Ensembl annotates it as long intergenic non-protein coding RNA 2465. The record is from Ensembl. Lineage: Eukaryota; Metazoa; Chordata; Mammalia; Primates; Hominidae.